UACGUAGGGGGCAAGCGUUGUCCGGAUUUAUUGGGCGUAAAGAGCGUGUAGGCGGCCAGACAAGUCUGCUGUGAAAACUCGAGGCUCAACCUCGAGCUGUCGGUGGAAACUGUCUGGCUAGAGUCCGGAAGAGGAGAGCGGAAUUCCUGGUGUAGCGGUGAAAUGCGCAGAUAUCAGGAAGAACACCUAUGGCGAAGGCAGCUCUCUGGGACGGUACUGACGCUGAGACGCGAAAGCGUGGGGAGCGAACAGG
RNAcentral lists this ribosomal RNA (253 nucleotides) under uncultured bacterium. Its description in RNAcentral is "partial 16S ribosomal RNA". It matches the Rfam family "Bacterial small subunit ribosomal RNA", at positions 524 to 776 of the family's 1533-position model. The record is from RNAcentral.